Molecule: transfer RNA, 73 nt
Filed under: Canis lupus familiaris (dog)
Lineage: Eukaryota; Metazoa; Chordata; Mammalia; Carnivora; Canidae
Also listed under: 1 other name
Rfam family: tRNA
About the family: Transfer RNA (tRNA) molecules are approximately 80 nucleotides in length. Their secondary structure includes four short double-helical elements and three loops (D, anti-codon, and T loops).
Source: Rfam by way of RNAcentral
GCCUGGCUGGCUCAGUCAGUGGAGCAUGAGACUCUUGAUCUCAGGAACAUGAGUUCGAGACCCACAUUGGGUG